AACGCGAAGAACCUUACCUACUCUUGAAUCCACGGAAUCCUGCAGAGAUGUGGGAGUGCCUUCGGGAACCGUGAGACAGGUGCUGCAUGGCUGUCGUCAGCUCGUGUCGUGAGAUGUUGGGUUAAGUCCCGUAACGAGCGCAACCCUUGUCCUUAGUUACCAACGAGUAAAGUCGGGGACUUUAAGGAGACUGCCGGUGAUAAACCGGAGGAAGGUGGGGAUGACGUCAAGUCCUCAUGGCCCAUACGAGUAGGGCUACACACGUGCUACAAUGGCCGGUACAAAGGGUAGCCAACCCGCGAGGGGGAGCUAAUCUCAUAAAGCCGGUCGUAGUCCGGAUUGGAGUCUGCAACUCGACUCCAUGAAGCUGGAAUCGCUAGUAAUCGCGGAUCAGAACGCCGCGGUGAAUACGUUCCCGGGCCUUGUACACACCGGCUAC
This 439-nucleotide ribosomal RNA is filed under the name uncultured bacterium. Its description in RNAcentral is "bacterial SSU rRNA". It matches the Rfam family "Bacterial small subunit ribosomal RNA", at positions 958 to 1397 of the family's 1533-position model. The record is from RNAcentral.